RNAcentral lists this transfer RNA (64 nucleotides) under Gastraspis sp. ZJUH_2016016. RNAcentral describes it as "tRNA-Leu". Lineage: Eukaryota; Metazoa; Arthropoda; Insecta; Hymenoptera; Figitidae. The record is from RNAcentral.
UUUAAUAUGGCAGAUUAGUGCAAUGAAUUUAAAUUUCAUAAAUAAAGGGUAACUUUUAUUAAAA